RNAcentral lists this unclassified non-coding RNA (3666 nucleotides) under Hevea brasiliensis (rubber tree). The record is from RNAcentral. Lineage: Eukaryota; Viridiplantae; Streptophyta; Magnoliopsida; Malpighiales; Euphorbiaceae.
UUUUUUUUUUUCAUUUUUUUUUUUUAUUUUUUUUUUCGAGUACGGGUUUGUGUCGGUAAAUAAAAAAUCAAAUGUAUUCAAGUGGGGUUUUCUAGAAAGUAUCAAUAAGCUAGACCCAUGCUUCGAGUUGUUUCAUGCCAUAAAUAAACUCGAACACUCAAGAAAUCCGUUGGACAGGCGGAUUCACAUCUCUUACAACCGACACAGUCCUCUGUUCUUGGAGCAGAAGCAAUUUGCUUGGAUUUACAUCCAUCCCAAGGUAUCAUUUCUAAUACAUCUGUGGGGCAGGCUCGGACACAUUGAGUACACCCUAUACAUGUAUCAUAAAUCUUUACUGAAUGUGACAUUAGAUUUCUAAUUUUUUUAACGUCAUAAAGUUUCAAUCUAGUAAAUUUCUAAAUGAAUCAUCAUAUAUUUAGACACCAGACGAAUCAAUGAUUUACCAGAAAUUUUCUAUUCAAUUCUGGAUCGACUCAUGAGAAAAAACCAAGAUACUUUAAUUUUUUACGUUUUCGCAAACAUGAUCAGAUAAGUUACGUAUCUUAUAUGCCAACUUGAAUUAAUGAACAUGAAAAUUAUAUUCUAUAUGAUUAAUACUACUUAUUCAACAAAUUCGAUUGAUUGAUACGGGUUGAUUUUCUAUUACGAUAAAUUGAUGAAACAAUAGCUAGUCCAAUAGCUGCUUCAGCGGCUGCGAUAGCUAUAACAAAAAUGGAAAAAAUAUUUCCUUUUAAUUGGCGGCUAUCAAAAAAAUCAGAAAAUGUUACGAAAUUUAGAUUAACUGCAUUCAGUAUAAGUUCAAGGCACAUAAGGGCUCUAACCAUAUUUCGACUCGUGAUCAAUCCAUAGAUACCAAUAGAAAAUAAAUAGGCACUCAAAACAAGUACAUGUUCGAGCAUCAUUGACCAACUCCUUAUCAAUUUCGAUUUAUUUCAAUAUAAACAACAAUUCAACAUCAACAGAUUGGAUUGGCUAAAAUAAGAAUAUCCCAAAUACAAAUCAAAGAAAUAUUUGGAUAAUAGAUCAAAUAAAAGAAUUUAUACAUAAAAAAUCUUUAAAUAGAAUUGAAGGAAAAUAGAUGUGAUAACAUAGACCAAAGUUUAAUUUGGAUUGCGAUUACUAAUUCUAAAGAUUUUUUACUGACGAGCCACAGCAAUCGCACCUAUCAAAGCAACUAAAAGAAUUAUUGAAAUGAAUUCAAAUGGAAGAAAAAAAUCUGUUGAUAAAUGAAUUCCAAUUUGUUGACCAUUACUUAUCAAAUCUUGUUCUAUAAUCUGAUUUGUUCUUGUAGUCCAAAUAAUUCCAUACCAUGACGUAUCUAGAAGAAUAGUAAUUAGUGAAACAAAAAUACUUGUACAAACUAAAGAAGUAACCCCGCUUCCAACAGUCCAAAGAUUAAAAUCUUUGUAAUAUUCUGAACCAUUCAUGAACAUCACGGCAAAUAUAAUUAAAACAUUUAUAGCUCCCACAUAAAUAAGGAGCUGUGCGGCAGCUACAAAAUGAGAGUUUGAUAAAAUAUAGAAUAAAGAUAUACAAACAAGAACCAAUCCCAACGAAAAGGCAGAAUAAAUUGGGUUGGUAAGUAAUACCACUCCUAGACCUCCUAAUAUAAGACCUAAUCCUAGAAAGACUAAAAGAAAAUCAUGAAUUAGUCCAGGCAAAUCCAUUGCACGUAAAAUAAGAAAUAAAAAAAAAAAUUGAAUUGUUUUUUCAUGACCUUAUUGACCCGACCAGGAAAACUUUUUUAUAAUAAGUUCUUAAUUGAAUUAAACCCUAAGGAGUGUAAAUUAAUUACUAUAUGUACAGCUAUUCUACUAAUCUCAUCCUUUCUCAAAAAGGCAUUCUAAAUUUUUUUUUUCGAAAUAAUUAUGGAUAGAAUUAAAGAUAUAUUAAUAGAUUUUCAAUCCAAAUUAAGUCGCGACGCAAUUAUCAUCAAUCAAUCAAAUCAAUAGUUGGAAUUUGUAAUUUUUGUAGUUAUUGACCAAGAAAAAUAAAAGAAAACCCAUUUCAUCCUUUCAUCCUUUUAGAUCAAAACAGAAUUUGAGUUUAAUAAUUGUACUUUUUAAUCAAUCAAAGUGGUUUACCUAUUUUUUUUUGAGUUGAAUUCAAAAUUGUUCGAAUUGUAUAAUCGUCAACUACUGACAUUGGUAAACGACCUAAAGCAAUUUGAUUAUAAUUCAAUUCGUGACGAUCAUAAGUAGAAAGCUCAUAUUCUUCAGUCAUCGAUAAACAAUUUGUCGGACAAUACUCAACACAGUUGCCACAAAAUAUACAGAUUCCGAAAUCAAUACUGUAAUUAAGCAACCGUUUCUUUCGAAUGUCAGUUUCCAAUUUCCAAUCAACAACAGGUAGAUCUAUAGGACAUACACGAACACAUACUUCACAAGCAAUGCAUUUAUCAAAUUCAAAAUGAAUUCGACCGCGGAAACGCUCCGAUGUGAUUAAUUUUUCAUAAGGAUAUUGAAUAGUUACAGGUAAACGAUUUGCAUGAGAUAAGGUAAUCAUAAAACCUUGACCAAUGUACCUUGCAGCUCGUAUGGUUUGUUGCCCAUAAUUCAUGAACCCAGUUACCAUGGGAAACAUAUCGUAAAUAUUUAUGAAUAAUUUUAUGUUUGUUUUUUUCUCUUGUUUGAAGACAAGUUAGGAAUAUAGAAAAAUAUUCUUUUAUAGUGAAAGAAGUUGGAAAGAGGUUGUUAAUAAUAGAUUACCGAGAGAAAUAGGUAAAAGAAAUUUCCAUCCAAGAUUUAAAAGUUGGUCCAUUCUUAGUCUAGGUAAAGUCCAUCUUGUUGUGAUAGAAAUGAACAAGAACAAAUAAGUUUUAACCAAUGUAAUAAAGAUACCAAUUGUUGUUCCAAAGACUCCGCCUAUUUUUUUUAUUUCAAAAAGCUCAGGAACGAAUAUAUACGGAAUAGAGAUAUUCCAACCGCCCAAGUAAAGAACUGUUACAAAUAAUGAAGAAACUAAUAAGUUUAGAUAGGAAGCAAUAUAAAAUAAACCAAAUUUGAUGCCCGAAUAUUCGGUUUGAUAACCUGCUACUAAUUCUUCUUCUGCUUCUGGUAAAUCAAAAGGCAAUCUCUCACAUUCUGCUAGAGAAGAAAUAAAAAAAAUGAUAAAUCCUAUAGGUUGACGCCACAAAUUCCACCCCCAAAAACCAGAUUUUGAUUGUGCCUCAACUAUAUCAACUGUACUUGAACUAUUAGAUAAUCAUAGUCGGUGAUAACAUCACUGUUCCCAUCGCUAUUACAGAACCGUACAUGAAAUUCUCACCUCAUACGGCUCCUCGAAGGCCAUAAAUAAAUUUAAGGAUCAGAUCAGAUUAUUUAUUUUGAUAUAUUUGUAGAAUAGAUAGGAUCAAAAUAAAAUCUAUCGACGUUCCAAAAUUCGAGCAAUGAAAUUCUAUCUGUUAUAAUACUAAAAAAAUACUUCUGAAUUGAUCUCAUCCUUUAAUAAUUUAAAUUUUUCUUUCUUGAGUAAUAACUUAAAUCCUUCAAUAAAAUACUCUUUGUAAAAAGUAAAAUAUUCUUUGUAAAAAUACCAAUAGAUAUUUUCUAUCGUUUUCGAUUACGAAAAAGUUAGAUAUUCCGAAUUAUGACACGAAUUCCAUCUCUAUGAAUAUCGAUAAAAAAAGAACAAAAAGGAUUGAUUUUUUUUUUCUAUUGUAAUUAG